RNAcentral lists this ribosomal RNA (506 nucleotides) under uncultured Glomeromycotina. Its description in RNAcentral is "partial small subunit ribosomal RNA". It matches the Rfam family "Eukaryotic small subunit ribosomal RNA", at positions 591 to 1092 of the family's 1831-position model. Lineage: Eukaryota; Fungi; Glomeromycota. The record is from RNAcentral.
CCAAUAGCGUAUAUUAAAGUUGUUGCAGUUAAAAAGCUCGUAGUUGAAUUUCGGGAUUGACACAUCGGUCGUGCCUUAAGGGGUAUGAACUGGUGUAGUCAAUUUCUCACCUUCUGGAGAACCGCGAUGCCCUUAAUUGGGUGUCGCGGGGAACCAGGACCUUUACUUUGAAAAAAUUAGAGUGUUUAAAGCAGGCAUUUUGCUUGAAUACAUUAGCAUGGAAUAAUAAAAUAGGACGGCAUGAUUCUAUUUUGUUGGUUUCUAGGAUCCACGUAAUGAUUAAUAGGGAUAGUUGGGGGCAUUAGUAUUCAAUUGUCAGAGGUGAAAUUCUUGGAUUUAUUGAAGACUAACUACUGCGAAAGCAUUUGCCAAGGAUGUUUUCAUUAAUCAAGAACGAAAGUUAGGGGAUCGAAGACGAUCAGAUACCGUCGUAGUCUUAACCAUAAACUAUGCCGACUAGGAAUCAGACGAUGUUAAUUUUUUAAUGACUCGUUUGGCACCUUACG